ACCAGUAAACACGAAGAAAGAGAGUAAGAAAACAUGCCAACAGAAAACAUGCUUAGUUAGAUCAGUCAGUCAACUUCAGAUAAAUCCAGUAGCUUGGUACUGUCAUGAAUAAAUGUACCAAACCAGCAUGUCGCUACACCUGGAGUGAGUAACAUUUGAAAUGGGACAGACGACAAUGGGGCCGAUGCGGUGCAGUUAAAAAGAGUUUGGACUUCCUAAUGUGCACUUCUCAGGAGUCGACCGUACUCUAUGUCAUAGUGUACAUGUUGAGAGCACCAGCGGGGUUUACAGGUUGUACUCUCGUAGAAUGUAAUCUGAAGGGGAUCCACGUCUUCUCAGGCCAGUCUGUUCUCCUGCCCUGCUCCUGUGCUGACCUCCAAGCUAAACCUCAAAGCCUCACAUGGAACUUCCAAAAACAAAACAGAGGAUCAUGGGGUGUAAAGGCGUACAAUCAAGGAUAGAGAAGACAGGAACACAUACUGUACAUCAGACUCUUUGUAAAAGAAUCACAUGGACUAAAUUCAGAGAUGGACAGAGACCUGAAACUAUAUCAACCCAGAGUGAUCUCUACAAAGGCAGAGUAAAGAUGUUUACUGAGAACUCUCCUGGGAACCACUCUCUCCUCCUUUCAGUACUGUAGAAAUCAAAGAAAUACAACUCUAUGAUAAAGGUAAGAGCUCCCACUCCCGAAAAAUGAGCCCCAAGAUUUAAUCUUCAGCUACAUAGUAUUGACACGGACCGAAUGAUCCACUUUUCUGUUAGUCCGAGCAAACCAAAACACCCACCACCACCACCACCACCAAUAACUCAACCCACAACUAGAACAUCCCAACCAACAACUUCCUCUAAAAGUCAGUGUAAAUCAUUAAAGUGUCUUAUAUUGCUAACGACUGUUGCUGGUUAAACCCAUACUUGUGUGACGAUGUGUGAACAAAAAGCUAGAUCGAUAUGCAAGUGAUCACAGACUCUCUUUUUAGCGUGGACUGGAAGAGUCACCAAGUCCUGUAGGGACAGACACUUGGGGGACUUCAGAGAAAGCUCAAUCUACGAUCAUUUACAUUGUACUGGCUGAUCUACCAGUCAUUCCCAUCAUGGCUGGAGUUGCUCUGUACAGAUACAGGAUAAAUAAUGGUUACUUGUCCACAAUUGCAACCACAUAGAUAAGCAAUAAGUUGAGUUGGGGAAAGUGACAGGACUUAUUGUGUGUAUUAAACUCACUGUUAUUUUAUCCCGAGGAAAGAAAAACAGAGGAGAAAAGUAGCUGGAGCAAAACAGGGGGAAAGAAUAACGAUAAGGAUGAUCCUUCUGCAAUGUAUUCCACGGUUGCAGACAGAAACACUGGUUUAGGUGACAAGACAACCACACCACUCAUUCCACCAGAUGAUGAUCCCUAUGCAAUGUUUCUGUGUGAACCGCAGCAUACAUCAACCAAGAGGAGACAACAACACUCUACAGUGCACCAGUAAGAGAUGAUCCCUCAGUGAUAUACUGCACCAUCAUCCACAUGACAGGAAAAGGGAAAGCAGCUGUGAGUCUGGAGAGCAGUGGAGAAAUAGAGUAUGCCAGUAUCAAGACAGGCAGAUCCUCCUAGAGCCACUAUACAAGGCUCACAGCCUUAUAAUACAGAGAGAUCUAACAGUAUUGUGCCCAGUAUCAUGAGGCUUUAUCUGGCGCACUUAACUAUAAAUAUGUUUUACUCUUCACAUUCAAAUCUUGAUCUUACAACGCAUUUAAAAUACCAUAUGAUAGAAUUCAAAUUUGAUACAAAUUACAUGUAUUUUGUCUUUCACUUUUCUUCUAUAAUACCAUAAAUUAAAUGCAUUCUGUAAAUAUGUAUGAUAUAUUACGUUUCUAAAUGAAAUUAAUAUCAUUAUUUUUAUUAACAGUGUAAAGAAUAGGACAAUCUAUGGCAAUAAGGCAAUAAAGUUUGAACAA
Long non-coding RNA from Oncorhynchus masou masou (cherry salmon), 1935 nucleotides. RefSeq lists it as uncharacterized. The record is from RefSeq and is a predicted model, not a curated record. Lineage: Eukaryota; Metazoa; Chordata; Actinopteri; Salmoniformes; Salmonidae. The transcript is spliced from 7 exons.